CAGUAGCCGCGGUAAUACGAAGGGGGCUAGCGUUGCUCGGAAUCACUGGGCGUAAAGGGUGCGUAGGCGGGUCUUUAAGUCAGGGGUGAAAUCCUGGAGCUCAACUCCAGAGCUGCCUUUGAUACUGAAGAUCUUGAGUUCGGGAGAGGUGAGUGGAACUGCGAGUGUAGAGGUGAAAUUCGUAGAUAUUCGCAAGAACACCAGUGGCGAAGGCGGCUCACUGGCCCGAUACUGACGCUGAGGCACGAAAGCGUGGGGAGCAAACAGGAUUAGAGACCCCGGUAGUCCCUGUCUCUUAUAC
Molecule: ribosomal RNA, 301 nt
Filed under: uncultured bacterium
Lineage: Bacteria
Description: partial 16S ribosomal RNA
Rfam family: Bacterial small subunit ribosomal RNA
Source: RNAcentral